AAAACAUCUUUUCUUGGUAAUUUAUUUGAGAUCUGACCUGCCCAAUGAUUUAUUUAAUGGCCGCGGUAUUCUGACCGUGCAAAGGUAGCAUAAUCAUUAGUUUAUUAAUUGUGGACUUGUAUGAAUGGUUGGACGAGAUAUUGACUGUCUCAUAUUUAUUAGUUGAAUUUAAUUUUUUAGUUAAAAAGCUUAAAUUUUAUUGUGGGACGAGAAGACCCUAUAGAUCUUUAUUUUUAUUUAUUAUUUGUUUUUUAGUUUAUUUUUUAAAGUUUUUAUUAAAUUUUUUGUUGGGGUGACAUUGAGAUAUAAUUAACUCUUUAUUUUUAAUACAAUUAUUUUUGAUUUUUUGACCUUUUAUUAUUGUUUAAAGAUAUAGAUACCUUAGGGAUAACAGCGUAAUUUUUUUUGAGAGUUCUUAUCGACAAUAAAGAUUGCGACCUCGAUGUUGGAUUAAGAAUAUUUUUAGGUGUAGGUGCUUUUAGAUUAGGUCUGUUCGACCUUUAAAUUCUUACA
RNAcentral lists this ribosomal RNA (513 nucleotides) under Pseudophasma phthisicum. RNAcentral's name for it is "partial 16S ribosomal RNA". It matches the Rfam family "Bacterial large subunit ribosomal RNA", at positions 1810 to 2600 of the family's 2925-position model. The record is from RNAcentral. Lineage: Eukaryota; Metazoa; Arthropoda; Insecta; Phasmatodea; Pseudophasmatidae.